This 499-nucleotide ribosomal RNA is filed under the name Mycobacteroides abscessus. RNAcentral describes it as "bacterial SSU rRNA". It matches the Rfam family "Bacterial small subunit ribosomal RNA", at positions 1 to 522 of the family's 1533-position model. The record is from RNAcentral. Lineage: Bacteria; Bacillati; Actinomycetota; Actinomycetes; Mycobacteriales; Mycobacteriaceae.
UGGAGAGUUUGAUCCUGGCUCAGGACGAACGCUGGCGGCGUGCUUAACACAUGCAAGUCGAACGGAAAGGCCCUUCGGGGUACUCGAGUGGCGAACGGGUGAGUAACACGUGGGUGAUCUGCCCUGCACUCUGGGAUAAGCCUGGGAAACUGGGUCUAAUACCGGAUAGGACCACACACUUCAUGGUGAGUGGUGCAAAGCUUUUGCGGUGUGGGAUGAGCCCGCGGCCUAUCAGCUUGUUGGUGGGGUAAUGGCCCACCAAGGCGACGACGGGUAGCCGGCCUGAGAGGGUGACCGGCCACACUGGGACUGAGAUACGGCCCAGACUCCUACGGGAGGCAGCAGUGGGGAAUAUUGCACAAUGGGCGCAAGCCUGAUGCAGCGACGCCGCGUGAGGGAUGACGGCCUUCGGGUUGUAAACCUCUUUCAGUAGGGACGAAGCGAAAGUGACGGUACCUACAGAAGAAGGACCGGCCACUACGUGCCAGCAGCCGCGGUA